CGGUGUUUAACUGGCGUGAUGUGGGACGUCCUACCGGUGGGCUUAGCCUCGCGAGGGGCGGCCCAACUAAUAUCCCGUCGCGGUGCUCUUUACUGAGUGUCGAGUCGGGCCGGUACGUUUACUUUGAACAAAUUAGAGUGCUUAAAGCAGGCUAUCCUCGCCUGAAUACUGCGUGCAUGGAAUAAUGGAAUAGGACCUCGGUUCUAUUUUGUUGGUUUUCGGAACCCCGAGGUAAUGAUUAAUAGGGACAGAUGGGGGCAUUCGUAUUGCGACGUUAGAGGUGAAAUUCUUGGAUCGUCGCAAGACGGACAGAAGCGAAAGCAUUUGCCAAAAAUGUUUUCAUUAAUCAAGAACGAAAGUUAGAGGUUCGAAGGCGAUCAGAUACCGCCCUAGUUCUAACCAUAAACGAUGCCAGCUAGCGAUCCGCCGAAGUUCCUCCGAUGACUCGGCGGGCAGCUUCCGGGAAACCCAAAGCUUUUGGGUUCCGGGGGAAGUAUGGUUGCAAAGCUGAAACUUAAAGGAAUUGACGGAAGGGCACCACCAGGAGUGGAGCCUGCGGCUUAAUUUGACUCAACACGGGAAACCUCACCAGGCCCAGACACCGGAAGGAUUGACAGAUUGAUAGCUCUUUCUUGAUUCGGUGGGUGGUGGUGCAUGGCCGUUCUUAGUUGGUGGAGCGAUUUGUCUGGUUAAUUCCGAUAACGAACGAGACUCUAGCCUGCUAAAUAGGCGUACCUUAUGGUAUCGCGAAGGCCCCCGGCUUCGGCCGGUGGGUUUUUACUACCAACGUACAAACAAAUCUUCUUAGAGGGACAGGCGG
RNAcentral lists this ribosomal RNA (820 nucleotides) under uncultured eukaryote. RNAcentral describes it as "SSU rRNA". It matches the Rfam family "Eukaryotic small subunit ribosomal RNA", at positions 629 to 1426 of the family's 1831-position model. The record is from RNAcentral.